GAACAGGAUAUCUCUCUGCAGCGGGGGAACAGUAAAGGGGAGGAUGUUUGGACGAAAUGGCGGGACAGAGAGAAAGAGCCGAUAUGGAGAAUUGGCAAAAUAGAUUCAUUAGCACGACGUCACCGCAGCUGCGGCCGUGGCGAAACCUCCGGUCCUGUAUUCUCGGGAUUAUCAAGACAUCGUCCUUGCUGGAGUCAGUGCCAGAGAAACGCCGCGGACAAACUGAAGAAGAAAAUUGCGACCACUUAACAUUCCUUUCUCAGCGAUAAAUUCGGGGGAACGAUGUGUCGUCUUUAUUUCUCGUUCAAGAUUAAUUCAAGGGCGAAUUGGAUAACUGGGGCAGCUGAAUUGAUUGUUUCCAAGAAAUAUUAAGUUCCAAUUGAUGAUCUUAGAAAGAUCUGAAGCUGAACUUUCGAACGAAAGCAAAAUGAUACAACGAUAUCACCGAUGAGUCUCAAGAAAGGAGCAACCAAGCAUACGUAGAAGAGAGCUGCGUGCACGCGCUACGGCCGCGACUCCCGAUGAGAUUGCACACAAUGCCUGGGUCUUUUCCCGCUUGCUGUGCCGAUGAUGGUCGUCGGCACAGAUCCGCUUUAAGUGAUUACUGCAUUUCCAUACGCGGCCAGAACGCCGAAGAACGGAAACAAUGUAUCCCGGAACAAGCGGCUUGGAUAUCGCGCAUUGUGUUCCGGAUAUCGCGGCGAUUCGCUAAACAAAACGGCCACUGGUUCGCCUCCGGUUCUCCUACCCUGUCUCCCUCGCUCUCCCCCAGUUACUCCUCUCUCCGUUAAACGAACGACGCAACCCUCCCGGAGCUCCGACGGACUCGGUGCGGCUGUUCCUUCCAGCAUACCCGCUGCCGUCCGCCAACCGCGAAGAACCGAAUGGCAUUCGCUAAUGCGUGGAAAUAACAACGGCGAUGCGAUGCGCUUUCACGUCGGUGGCCCGUAAUGAGCCACGCGAUUCGGAAUCGCAUGUAAGAAUGCGAGGAUCGGUAGAAAGGCGAGACUGAGUAUGCAACGUGCAGAUCGCAAGCGUGACUGUGUCGUGCUCAACUCGGCAAACUAUAUGCAAUUACGGAAUCAUGGUCGAUGCAAUUUUUCAAUAUUCCGCAUACGUGUGAUUUUAUAAUUGGCAGUUCUUGCGUGAUACACAGCAUGAAAUUAUGCACAAAUUAUUUCUGAUUGCGUCAGAA
Harpegnathos saltator (Jerdon's jumping ant) is the source of this 1195-nucleotide long non-coding RNA. RefSeq lists it as uncharacterized. The transcript is spliced from 3 exons. The record is from RefSeq and is a predicted model, not a curated record. NCBI's taxonomy places the organism in Eukaryota, Metazoa, Arthropoda, Insecta, Hymenoptera, Formicidae.